This is a long non-coding RNA of Lagopus muta (rock ptarmigan), 1932 nucleotides long. RefSeq lists it as uncharacterized. The record is from RefSeq and is a predicted model, not a curated record. The transcript has 3 exons. Lineage: Eukaryota; Metazoa; Chordata; Aves; Galliformes; Phasianidae.
GUUGCUCGGGCUGCCAACCUGCCCGCCCGUGAGCGAGAGCCCGCCACAGCACUCGCCUCGGGGCCAACCGGGCUCCACUUCCCUCCCGACGCCCCCUUUCCAUAGGGUGGAAUGGAAGCUCCCUUCUCCACGCACGCCUGCCUCGGAAGCAUGCCCGACGAACAUCUGUGCCGAGCCUAAGUUGUUGGUGUUCCUGCUGAGAGGGAAGUUUCAGGCGUGCUUUGCAAUCUGCAGGACUUAAGCGAGGAGGGAGUUGUGCACAGUUACCUGCAGGGAGUUGAGCAGUUACUUGGUGCCAUGACAGGCAGUGAGGACCCAUCGCCAUGGCAGACCUCAUUGCUCACAGCCUCCAUCACUGAAGCAUCCUAUGGAGAAAGUUCAAUCCCCAGCUGUCCUCUGGCAGGAGGAGGGCUGCUGUUCUUCCUGGGCCCGAGGAGCAGGCUGCCAUUUAGGGACUAUGGGAGGACCUCUUUAUUCAUAUUGCAGUGGUGCUUGCUGGCACGUAAGACAAGAAAUACCCAUAAUAAAUGAAUACCAUGAAGUCAGCUUAGUUAGCACGACUGGCAGGAUCCUCCCCACUUUCAAGAGUAUGUCACAAGCCUUGCAUCACCCACAGGUAACUCCUUCUAAUUGUCAGGCUGCGCUGUAUGCUGGAAGACUUUGAUAUGAAAGCACCCCUGGAAAUAAUACCUUCUUCUUCCUUUGCCUGGAUGCACCAGAUGAGUGCUGCACUCUGAGCCACUUUCCAGUACAGAUGAGAGUGUCUCAUGAGAAGCCAGAGGUCCUCCGCUCUGGUUUUUUUUGUGAAAAUAGUGACUUCUGGUGGGGUGCAAAGGGAGAGGCCUUCCUUUGAUUUAAGGCAUAAAGCAUAAAUUCAGUUUUUGUAGUGAUAUCUUUGCAUGCUCUUAGCAUCACGAGCCCAGCUUUAAAGUCAUUUGAGAAAGAUUAAUCAUAAGCAAGAUUUCAGAAACUUUGAAAAAAUCCUAUGGAACAGCUCAUACAGGUUGUAAUAUUGUACUAGGAAUGGAAGCGUUACCAUUCCAAAGCCUUUUCUGUCCAGUACUAGAUCUGAAAUUUGCCACUGAAGCUCAGAUAAUGAAUAUCCACUUUGAAAUGAGUGAAAAACAAUCCUUGUGCUAGUUUCCUGAUACUUCAGGUUCUGCUGUGGUUACUGUUUGAAUUGAAAAAACACCAGGAUAGGUGUUCAUUUUUAGCACUGGUCAGAUUGCAGUGGUAGUAAAGUCAGUGAUUUUGAAAAUUUGAGAGGUCAGGCUGAAUUAGCCCUGACAAAGAGAAUAUUCCUUUCAGCCAAGGGCUGACAGCCUGUGAUUGUUUCCAGCUUCCACUUCUGAGCUGAGCCAGCACCUGACUCACUCCUUCGAGAGCCAUCUCACCUUGCCACCACAUCAUCACUGCUUGAUGCCUUCUUAGAAGUGUGGAGUUGACUCCUAGGAACGGGUACCUGGCCUUGUUAACAUUGGAAUGGUUAUUUCUCCACAGUAUUUUUUUAAUUUUUUUUUUCUGUAUAGGUGGGGUCUCUCCAAUCCAUAGGUAGAUAAAAGGAGAGCAGAGAGGGAGGUGUUGUCUAAAUGUACUCUCACUGUGGUCAUACGUAGUUCAUAAAGCUUCUCUAUAAUGUCCUAAUUGCACUUUCGUUGUUGCACACUUGGUUUGCCAAUAUUCUUUGACACAGUUUUAAAGAUUGGCUUCCUUUUACCUGGGCCUCAGAUCACCAUGAUGGGGAGAAGGCACUCGUUUAUAAGAGAUGGAAGAAGAAUCUGUCCUGGAGUCUUUGUUGUUGUUGUUUUAAAUAAAAGGUAACGCCUGACACUGCAGAAGUACCUGACCAGCUGGCUGUAUUUGCUUCCAACUAUGGUACAUUUGAGAUAAAAAUCUCAAGUAUUUUUAAUUUCACUUAUGUUCUUUCUCAAA